Molecule: ribosomal RNA, 415 nt
Filed under: uncultured eukaryote
Lineage: Eukaryota
Description: bacterial SSU rRNA
Rfam family: Eukaryotic small subunit ribosomal RNA
Source: RNAcentral
CAAUAGCGUAUAUUAAAGUUGUUGCAGUUAAAAAGCUCGUAGUUGGAUUUCUGGGAGGGUGCCAAUGUCCGUCGUCGUACGUGUUGCAGCGGCGCCCUUCCAUCCUUCUGUUAACGACUUUGGGCAUUCACUUGCCGGAGUCGGGCUCAGAUAUUUUACCUUGAGAAAAUUAGAGUGUUUCAGGCAGGCGUAGCCGGAAUACAUUAGCAUGGAAUAAUGGAAUAGGACUUAGUCUCUUUGUUGGUUCGAGGGACUGGAGUAAUGAUUAAUAGGGAUAGUUGGGGGCAUUAGUAUUUCAUUGUCAGAGGUGAAAUUCUUGGAUUUAUGAAAGACGAACUUCUGCGAAAGCAUUUGCCAAGGAUGUUUUCAUUAAUCAAGAACGAAAGUUGGGGGCUCGAAGACGAUUAGAUACCGU